This 465-nucleotide ribosomal RNA is filed under the name uncultured bacterium. RNAcentral describes it as "bacterial SSU rRNA". It matches the Rfam family "Bacterial small subunit ribosomal RNA", at positions 338 to 795 of the family's 1533-position model. The record is from RNAcentral.
CCUACGGGCCGCACCAGUGGGGAAUAUUGCACAAUGGGCGCAAGCCUGAUGCAGCCAUGCCGCGUGUAUGAAGAAGGCCUUCGGGUUGUAAAGUACUUUCAGCGGGGAGGAAGGCGAUAAGGUUAAUAACCCUGUCGAUUGACGUUACCCGCAGAAGAAGCACCGGCUAACUCCGUGCCAGCAGCCGCGGUAAUACGGAGGGUGCAAGCGUUAAUCGGAAUUACUGGGCGCAAAGCGCACGCAGGCGGUCUGUCAAGUCGGAUGUGAAAUCCCCGGGCUCAACCUGGGAACUGCAUUCGAAACUGGCAGGCUAGAGUCUUGUAGAGGGGGGUAGAAUUCCAGGUGUAGCGGUGAAAUGCGUAGAGAUCUGGAGGAAUACCGAUGGCGAAGGCAGCCAUCUGGCCUAACACUGACGCUGAGGUGCGAAAGCAUGGGGAGCAAACAGGAUUAGAUACCCGAGUAGUC